UCGAAACUUGAAAAAGUACAGGGCUGUGU
RNAcentral lists this non-coding RNA (29 nucleotides) under Homo sapiens (human). Lineage: Eukaryota; Metazoa; Chordata; Mammalia; Primates; Hominidae. The record is from RNAcentral.